Molecule: ribosomal RNA, 253 nt
Filed under: uncultured bacterium
Lineage: Bacteria
Description: partial 16S ribosomal RNA
Rfam family: Bacterial small subunit ribosomal RNA
Source: RNAcentral
UACGUAGGGUGCGAGCGUUGUCCGGAAUUAUUGGGCGUAAAGAGCUUGUAGGCGGUCUGUCGCGUCUGCUGUGAAAAUCCGGGGCUCAACCCCGGACUUGCAGUGGGUACGGGCAGACUAGAGUGUGGUAGGGGAGACUGGAAUUCCUGGUGUAGCGGUGAAAUGCGUAGAGAUCGGCAGGAACACCCAGGGGGAAACCAGCCGACUGGGCAUCUGCUGACGCUGAGGUGCGAGAGCGUGGGGAGCGAACCGG